This is a long non-coding RNA of Solea solea (common sole), 1973 nucleotides long. RefSeq lists it as uncharacterized. Lineage: Eukaryota; Metazoa; Chordata; Actinopteri; Pleuronectiformes; Soleidae. The record is from RefSeq and is a predicted model, not a curated record. The transcript is spliced from 9 exons.
CUGACACUCUACAAAGGGCUGGGUCCUGAAGUCUGUCAGACAGCUACCAGAUGAGGUCAGAGACUGACCACCGCCCUCAUCACCUGCUCCUGUAUGCUGCAUCACACACAAGAAAUGACAUUAUCAUCAGGUACAGCAGACUAUAUCCACUCCAUAGGGCCCUCAUGUUUAGCGGACAGGUGGGAAUCUGCCUUGAUUGGCUGUGCAUUACCAAGAGGAACCCUGGAUUCAGGCGAGUUGACUGUCCAGGAGGACCGCGGUCUCCUAUCGGCCCAGAACCACCUGAGAUACAAAGACCACAACAGGAGGAACUGGAGGAUUUGUACCAGGAUCUCCCAUGUCCCCGGGACAACCUGAAACAGCAAAUCCAGAUCAGGGGGUGUCACAUGUGACACACACGUCCAUCUAGUCCAUGAAGUCCCAGUGGUCCAGGUGGACCUGAUGCAACAAAAUCAUUUGGAAAUCAAACCGUAAACUGUAUGCUGCAAUCUGGCUGAUCAAUACAACAAAACACUCAAUAAAUACACACACCUCACACAGUACAGUACUGGUAAGAAUUUACCACAAAAAUGUAGCUUUCUCGAUUGAGAUGAUAUAUUGUCACCAUCACUGUCCAUCACUAAUUAGGAAAUGAUUUUGGUUUGUGUUCUGACCUUGGAGACCUAUGUCACCUUGAGGUCCAGGAGGACCACUGUUACCCGCUUUGCCAGGAAGCCCUGGAAAACCUGGACGACCUCUGGGACCUCGGGGACCAAUCGCACCUGAAAUGAACCACACAGACAGACACAAGGACAAACACACAGACCAGUUAAGGAGCUUGUUUUAUAGCUUGAGUUGGAGUAAGCAAAUCAUUUCUGAUAAAUGGUCAAAUAAAAGCAAAGACUCAAAUAUUCUCAUUAACACUGAUAAUUUAUAGUACAAUUUAACAUGAUGACAUUUUGAGAAACAGAAUUAUCUUCUUCUUUCUGCUUUUUCCUUAGGGGUCACCACAGUGGACCAUUUGCCUUCAUCUCACCCUAUGCCUAUGAAUAAGCAGAGACUGCUCACUGAGUUACUUGUAAUGAUUUAUUUACCAUCACUACCAUUAUGUUGUGGAAACUAGGAAUGGAUGAAAAAGCCAGUGUGCCAGUUUCUCCAGUGGCUGACCUUCACACACCUAUAUCCUCUGACUCCUCUGCCAAUUUUUUGCAUCUUCAAAAAUGUGUGGCAUGUUUGGUGUAAAUGCAUCACUAAUCCUGUCUGAUUGGAUAAAUAAUGGUCUUUCUUGGUUUUCUUAUACCAGGUCCCAUGACUCAGCUAAUGCCCUUGUCCAGAUGAGCCUGCUUGCCUGGUAGACCUGGGUCUCCACGGUGACCUGGAUCUCCUUUUCGUCCAUUCUGUCCUGGAUCCCCAAUGAAACCAGAACUAGAACAUCACCUGAUUGCCCAAAGUCUCCAGGAGCCCCUUUGUCUCCAGGGAAGCCCAUGGGUCCUGGAGGUCCUUGACGUCCUGGUAAGCCUGGUGGUCCUGGGAUACCACAGGAACCUGGUUUCCCGGGGGGGCCUGUGAUGCCUGGGGGUCCACUGAGUCCUGGAAACCCUGGAUUACCUGAAUGUACCUGGUCAAUCCCAGAGGUCCCGGGUUCCCUCUUCUACCUGAAGGGACACAUAGGAGACGUUUUGGCCUCAUUCAGACCUGGUCUGAGAACAAAUUCAGGACUGAUUGGGAACAUUCAGACCUGUACUUGGCGGAUGUAAAUACCAGGUCUAAAAUAAGGUCACAAAACAUUACCAAAAGAUUCUGGAGAUUCUUCUUGAAAAUCAACAUCUGUGUCAGCAGUGGAUGCAUGGUUUAGCCCUUCACAUCCUGGAGCUCCAUCUCGUCCAUCAAACCCUCUCUCUCCUGUCUUCCCUGGAGUUCCAGGGAACCCAGUCUGUCCUCGGGGCCCUGGCCCGCCAUACUUGCCUUGGGGCCCCAACAGACCUGAAAGACAC